This 494-nucleotide ribosomal RNA is filed under the name uncultured bacterium. Its description in RNAcentral is "partial 16S ribosomal RNA". It matches the Rfam family "Bacterial small subunit ribosomal RNA", at positions 28 to 507 of the family's 1533-position model. The record is from RNAcentral.
GACGAACGCUGGCGGCGUGCUUAACACAUGCAAGUCGAACGGAAAGGCCUGCUUUCCCUUGUGGAUUGCGGGUACUCGAGUGUCGAACGGGUGAGUAACACGUGAUUGCUCUGCCCCCAACUUGGGUAUAAGCCUGGGAAACUGGGUCUAAUUCCCGCUCGGACUGCAGUGUGGUGCCUGUGGUGGAAAACGAUUUUCUAGUGGUUGGGGAUGAGCUCGCGGCCUAUCAGCUUGUUGGUGGGGUAAUGGCCUACCAAGGCGGCGACGGGUAGCCGGCCUGAGGGGGGGGAACGUCACAGUGGGAAUGAGAGAAGGCCCAGCCUCGUACGGGAGGAAGCAGUGGGGAAUAUAGGAGCAUGGGGGGAAGCCUGAUGCAGCGACGCAGGGUGGGGGAUGACGGCCUUCGGGUGGUAAACUCCUUUCGACCGCGAGGAAGCCACCUGGUUGGAAGGGUGGUGACGGUAGUGGUAGAAGAAGCACCGGCUAACUACGUG